ACGCGCUUAGUUUAUUAGUGAGAAUAGUAACUUGUCGUGUUAUUGGUGCAUUUCUGUAUGUAACGCGUU
RNAcentral lists this transfer RNA (69 nucleotides) under Schistosoma turkestanicum. RNAcentral's name for it is "tRNA-Asp". The record is from RNAcentral. Lineage: Eukaryota; Metazoa; Platyhelminthes; Trematoda; Strigeidida; Schistosomatidae.